GACGAACGCUGGCGGCGUGCUUAACACAUGCAAGUCGAACGGAAAGGCCCUGCUUGCAGGGUACUCGAGUGGCGAACGGGUGAGUAACACGUGGGUGAUCUGCCCUGCACUUCGGGAUAAGCCUGGGAAACUGGGUCUAAUACCGGAUAGGAGCCAUUUUUAGUGUGAUGGUUGGAAAGUUUUUUCGGUGUAGGAUGAGCUCGCGGCCUAUCAGCUUGUUGGUGGGGUAAUGGCCUACCGAGGCGGCGACGGGUAGCCGGCCUGAGAGGGUGGACGGCCACAUUGGGACUGAGAGACGGCCCAGACUCCUACGGGAGGCAGCAGUGGGGAAUAUUGCACAAUGGGCGCAAGCCUGAUGCAGCGACGCCGCGUGGGGGAUGACGGCCUUCGGGUUGUAAACUCCUUUCGCUAGGGACGAAGCUUUUUGUGACGGUACCUAGAUAAGAAGCACCGGCUAACUACGUG
Molecule: ribosomal RNA, 465 nt
Filed under: uncultured bacterium
Lineage: Bacteria
Description: partial 16S ribosomal RNA
Rfam family: Bacterial small subunit ribosomal RNA
Source: RNAcentral